UACGUAGGGGGCAAGCGUUGUCCGGAUUUAUUGGGCGUAAAGAGCGUGUAGGCGGCCAGGCAGGUCUGCUGUGAAAACUCGAGGCUUAACCUCGAGCUGUCGGCGGAAACCAUCUGGCUAGAGUCCGGAAGAGGAGAAUGGAAUUCCCGGUGUAGCGGUGAAAUGCGCAGAUAUCGGGAAGAACACCCGUGGCGAAGGCGGUUCUCUGGGACGGUACUGACGCUGAGACGCGAAAGCGUGGGGAGCGAACAGG
RNAcentral lists this ribosomal RNA (253 nucleotides) under uncultured bacterium. RNAcentral describes it as "partial 16S ribosomal RNA". It matches the Rfam family "Bacterial small subunit ribosomal RNA", at positions 524 to 776 of the family's 1533-position model. The record is from RNAcentral.